This 655-nucleotide ribosomal RNA is filed under the name uncultured Lactobacillus sp. RNAcentral's name for it is "bacterial SSU rRNA". It matches the Rfam family "Bacterial small subunit ribosomal RNA", at positions 9 to 631 of the family's 1533-position model. Lineage: Bacteria; Bacillati; Bacillota; Bacilli; Lactobacillales; Lactobacillaceae. The record is from RNAcentral.
GAGUUUGAUCCUGGCUCAGGACGAACGCUGGCGGCGUGCCUAAUACAUGCAAGUCGAGCGAGCCGAACUAAUUGAUUACCUUCGGGUAUGAAGUUAGGGAAGCGAGCGGCGGAUGGGUGAGUAACACGUGGGUAACCUACCCUAUAGUCUGGGAUACCACUUGGAAACAGGUGCUAAUACCAGAUAAAAGGAGAGAUCACAUGAUUUCUUUUUGAAAGGCGGCGUAAGCUGUCGCUAAAGGAUGGACCCGCGGUGCAUUAGCUAGUUGGUAAGGUAACGGCUUACCAAGGCAACGAUGCAUAGCCGAGUUGAGAGACUGAUCGGCCACAUUGGGACUGAGACACGGCCCAAACUCCUACGGGAGGCAGCAGUAGGGAAUCUUCCACAAUGGACGCAAGUCUGAUGGAGCAACGCCGCGUGAGUGAAGAAGGUUUUCGGAUCGUAAAGCUCUGUUGUUGGUGAAGAAAGAUAGUGAGAGUAACUGCUCAUUAUUUGCCGGUAAUCAACCAGAAAGUCACGGCUAACUACGUGCCAGCAGCCGCGGUAAUACGUAGGUGGCAAGCGUUGUCCGGAUUUAUUGGGCGUAAAGCGAGCGCAGGCGGAAAGAUAAGUCAGAUGUGAAAGCCCUCGGCUUAACCGAGGAAUAGCAUCGGAA